This is a long non-coding RNA of Dendrobium catenatum, 891 nucleotides long. RefSeq lists it as uncharacterized. The transcript is spliced from 3 exons. Lineage: Eukaryota; Viridiplantae; Streptophyta; Magnoliopsida; Asparagales; Orchidaceae. The record is from RefSeq and is a predicted model, not a curated record.
CAGCUGCAGCAGAGCAGGAGACAGAUGUUAGAAUGUUGAUAGCACCUGAGGGUGACACGUUCUACCCAUCAAAACAACCGACACAUAAAAUACGGGACAUCAUACGGAGCAGGUUUGACGCUCCUUAUGUUUCUUGGAAGAAAGUCCCGAAAGAAGUCCGGGAGAUGUGGUUUAGAGAGUUUGAGGUAUUUUUGUGUUUUAGUUUUUAUGUUAAAUGAUUUAUUCUUUCUUACUUAAGCUAAUAAUCUUAUAUAUUAUAUAUCAUAUGUAUUUGAUUACAUAAAGAGUUUUGUUGGCUGCCCCAACACAAUGAUAGGAUUAGAAAGAAUUUUGAGAAGCAUGGGUCUACUCGGAUGCGCGACAUGUUCACAGAUAUUAGAAAGUCUGGGAAGCGACCAUUAUGGAUUGGAGAGGUUAUAUGGGAUGAGUUGAAUGCAGCUUGGGGCAGCGAAGAGUACAGUAGGAAGAGGGAUCAGAAUCGACAGAACAGAGCUUCUGAUGUUGGUGGGUUGGGUAGUUCACUUCAUAUAGGCGGCUCUGUUCCACAUACUGAGCACAGGCGUCAUUUGGUAAUGAAUUUUAAUUAUUUUUUAAAAUUAUUCUUUAAUCUAUAUUAAUAAAAUUCUCUUAAUUCAAACAGAAAGCGAUGCUUGGUAGAGAACCAACUCCUGUUGAAUUGCAUAGUCACACUCAUAAGCGAUAGGAGGAUCAACAGUGGAUUGAUGAGAGAUCAAGAAAAGCCUAUGAGGAUUAUACACGGCUUCGAGAGACUCAUGCCGCAUCAGGUGAGGGCUCUUCUGGCGGCUCUGUGGAGUAUUCUGAGUAUCGCAUCUGGUCGCAGGCCGUCGGAGGAAUGCAGCAUGGUAGAGUAUAUGGCUUAGGUGCGCAAGC